This 253-nucleotide ribosomal RNA is filed under the name uncultured bacterium. Its description in RNAcentral is "partial 16S ribosomal RNA". It matches the Rfam family "Bacterial small subunit ribosomal RNA", at positions 524 to 776 of the family's 1533-position model. The record is from RNAcentral.
UACGUAGGGUGCAAGCGUUGUCCGGAAUUAUUGGGCGUAAAGAGCUCGUAGGCGGUUUGUCGCGUCGGCUGUGAAAACCUGGGGCUCAACCCCGGGCCUGCAGCCGAUACGGGCAAACUAGAAUUCGGUAGGGGAGACUGGAAUUCCUGGUGUAGCGGUGAAAUGCGCAGAUAUCGGGAGGAACACCGGUGGCGAAGGCGGUUCUCUGGGCCUUACCUGACGCUGAGGAGCGAAAGCGUGGGGAGCGAACAGG